UAGACGAUUUAAUCGGGAUAUUGGUUGAUAGAUAACAAUUGCUUAGUGUUUAGUUUAAUUAUGAAGCAGUUGUUAUUAUUGCACCAAGUAGAAUUUUAAAAAUAGGUAAAGUGUGAAUAUCUUUCACGUAAGUUGCAAAAUUUAGUGCAGUACGAUGGCAAGUAUGAGUGUGUGUAUGUAUAUGUGUGCGCAAAAAGUGUAAAAAGUGAAAAAAAAUUUCGGCACUUAUUUAAUUCACAAGUUUCGACGUGAAAUCUUGUUUCCUGAAAUUAGCCGGAGCGGACAAUGGACUCAGGACAUGGCCAAAAUACAUCCUGUUAUAUUAUUUUAGUGUGAAAUUUGGUUGCAUUCGAUUAGGAAUCUUAUCCCAUUGUUUCCUACGGUAAAUUGGCCGCAUCAGACUAUGGGCUCUGAAGCUAUGGCUUGUCAUGUCCGGAGGAGACGGCUGCAUCCGAAUCAGCCAUCUCCAGCUGCUGCUCGAUCUCCCGAGAGGGUAUCCCUGGUAGGGUAAACAAUCCGCUACUACAUGGCUAUAAUAUGAUUUUCGAUUCUAUAAACUCAUAGAAAAGUCUCUGCCAGAUUAUGGGAGCUGAAUGGAACAAUUUUCGAAGCCAUUCGAAUUUCAGACAAGAAUCAAUCUGCAAUCAUCGACGUCAGGAAAAUGACUAUCAUCUCUGAUGGAUCCUACGAAUCGUACCUUUCAAUACAAGGACCGGGACUAAUGCCAACGGCGCGGAGUAGAAUCCAGGCAUACUGGGAAGUGAAAC
Long non-coding RNA from Armigeres subalbatus, 767 nucleotides. RefSeq lists it as uncharacterized. Lineage: Eukaryota; Metazoa; Arthropoda; Insecta; Diptera; Culicidae. The transcript has 3 exons. The record is from RefSeq and is a predicted model, not a curated record.